CCUACGGGGGGCAGCAGUGAGGAAUAUUGGUCAAUGGGCGCUAGCCUGAACCAGCCAAGUAGCGUGAAGGAUGACUGCCCUAUGGGUUGUAAACUUCUUUUAUAAAGGAAUAAAGUGCGGCACGUAUGCUUCUUUGCAUGUACUUUAUGAAUAAGGAUCGGCUAACUCCGUGCCAGCAGCCGCGGUAAUACGGAGGAUCCGAGCGUUAUCCGGAUUUAUUGGGUUUAAAGGGAGCGUAGGUGGGUUGUUAAGUCAGUUGUGAAAGUUUGCGGCUCAACCGUAAAAUUGCAGUUGAUACUGGCAGUCUUGAGUACAGUAGAGGUAGGCGGAAUUCGUGGUGUAGCGGUGAAAUGCUUAGAUAUCACGAAGAACUCCGAUUGCGAAGGCAGCUUACUAAACUGCCACUGACAUUGAUGCUCGAAAGUGUGGGUAGCAAACAGGAUUAGAUACCCUUGUAGUC
This 460-nucleotide ribosomal RNA is filed under the name uncultured bacterium. RNAcentral's name for it is "partial 16S ribosomal RNA". It matches the Rfam family "Bacterial small subunit ribosomal RNA", at positions 338 to 795 of the family's 1533-position model. The record is from RNAcentral.